RNAcentral lists this long non-coding RNA (299 nucleotides) under Apteryx rowi (Okarito brown kiwi). RNAcentral describes it as "lncRNA (ENSARWG00000015040.1)". Lineage: Eukaryota; Metazoa; Chordata; Aves; Apterygiformes; Apterygidae. The record is from RNAcentral.
CAGAAGUACACUGUGCUACAUUUGGCAUUGCUACACGCAUAAACAAGAGUUGUUCGAAGAUGGCUGUGGUAACAUGACAUGCUAUUCGAAUGCUAAAAAGCAAACUCUGUGCUGGACACUGAAGCUUGGGAUUUGCAUCCUUAUCCGCAUAAGGGAGUACCUGCAUGGGCAGGGUGGCUGCAAAUUCUACUUGAGUAUAUACAGGCAUAAGAACUUCAAAAGUACAGUGUCAAGAAGAAUUUUCCAAAUGAUACAUUGCAAAUGGGUGAAGAGAAUGUCUCCUGGAAACUCUAUGGGGA